GGGGAUGUUCUGGUUUUGACAGCACUGACUUUGGAAGGUAAGCACGCCGGGAGUGGAAGGCUGGCCCGUUAAUCCCAGUUUUCAAGCCAUUAACUGGCAACUACAAUUAUUCAUACGCUUGCUAAUUCCCUCAGGGCUCUGGCAUCAAUUCAGGCGCCAAGGUUGCGUUUGAACGUAUAUCCCUCCUGCCAUUAGGCCGGUUCUGGCGGAUCAAGGGGUAUCAUCAAAACCGGAUGCGUGGGGCUGACGCCUCUAUUCCCCAUCAAGACUCAGAGGAUAAGUUUCCGCCAAGGGUGUCCUUUCUCGUACGGAAGCCGACAAUCAAAGAAGGAAUAAGCGUGUAGAAAGCUUUUUGAAGCUUUGUUUGGACUAGGGUUCGACUCCCUACAUCUCCACA
Molecule: transfer-messenger RNA, 397 nt
Filed under: human gut metagenome
Rfam family: transfer-messenger RNA
About the family: Bacterial tmRNA, also known as 10Sa RNA or SsrA, is named for its dual tRNA and mRNA-like properties. Its role is to liberate the mRNA from a stalled ribosome.
Source: RNAcentral